RNAcentral lists this ribosomal RNA (118 nucleotides) under Actinacidiphila glaucinigra. RNAcentral describes it as "Streptomyces glauciniger 16S rRNA. Bacterial SSU". It matches the Rfam family "Bacterial small subunit ribosomal RNA", at positions 1 to 119 of the family's 1533-position model. Lineage: Bacteria; Bacillati; Actinomycetota; Actinomycetes; Kitasatosporales; Streptomycetaceae. The record is from RNAcentral.
CAUUCACGGAGAGUUUGAUCCUGGCUCAGGACGAACGCUGGCGGCGUGCUUAACACAUGCAAGUCGAACGGUGAAGCCCUUCGGGGUGGAUCAGUGGCGAACGGGUGAGUAACACGUG